GGUCUUAUAGCUCAGUUGGUUAGAGCACCUGACUCAUAAUCAGGUGGUCCCAGGUUCGAGUCCUGGUGGGACCA
RNAcentral lists this transfer RNA (74 nucleotides) under Tenacibaculum dicentrarchi. RNAcentral's name for it is "tRNA-Ile". It matches the Rfam family "tRNA". Rfam says of the family: Transfer RNA (tRNA) molecules are approximately 80 nucleotides in length. Their secondary structure includes four short double-helical elements and three loops (D, anti-codon, and T loops). Further hydrogen bonds mediate the characteristic L-shaped molecular structure. tRNAs have two regions of fundamental functional importance: the anti-codon, which is responsible for specific mRNA codon recognition, and the 3' end, to which the tRNAs corresponding amino acid is attached (by aminoacyl-tRNA synthetases). tRNAs cope with the degeneracy of the genetic code in two manners: having more than one tRNA (with a specific anti-codon) for a particular amino acid; and 'wobble' base-pairing, i.e. permitting non-standard base-pairing at the 3rd anti-codon position. The record is from RNAcentral. Lineage: Bacteria; Pseudomonadati; Bacteroidota; Flavobacteriia; Flavobacteriales; Flavobacteriaceae. RNAcentral also lists the same sequence under 12 other names.